CACCGCGGUUAUACGAGAGGCCCAAGCUGAUAGAUAUCGGCGUAAAGCGUGGUUAAGAUUUUAAUUUAAACUAAAGCCGAACACCUUCAAAGCUGUUAUACGCACCCGAAGGCAAGAAGUUCAACCACGAAAGUGGCUUUAUAACCCCUGAACCCACGAAAGCUAUGACA
RNAcentral lists this ribosomal RNA (170 nucleotides) under Gymnocephalus schraetser (schraetzer). RNAcentral describes it as "partial small subunit ribosomal RNA". The record is from RNAcentral. Lineage: Eukaryota; Metazoa; Chordata; Actinopteri; Perciformes; Percidae.